This 940-nucleotide ribosomal RNA is filed under the name uncultured archaeon. Its description in RNAcentral is "bacterial SSU rRNA". It matches the Rfam family "Archaeal small subunit ribosomal RNA", at positions 1 to 922 of the family's 1478-position model. The record is from RNAcentral.
UUCCGGUUGAUCCCGCCGGACCCGACCGCUAUCGGGGUAGGGCUAAGCCAUGCGAGUCGUGCGCCCGGGGGCGCCCGGGAGCGGCGCACGGCUCANUAACACGUGCCUAACCUAACCUCGGGAGGGGGAUACCCCCGGGAAACUGGGGUCAAUCCCCCAUAGGGGAAGGGCGCUGGAAGGCCCCUUCCCCGAAAGGGCUGGCGGCCGAUCCGCCGCCAGCCGCCCGAGGGUGGGGGCACGGCCCAUCAGGUAGUUGGCGGGUUAAAGGCCCGCCAAGCCGAAGACGGGUAGGGGCGGUGAGAGCCGUGAGCCCCGAGAUGGGCACUGAGACAAGGGCCCAGGCCCUACGGGGCGCAGCAGGCGCGAAUACUCCGCAAUGCGGGCAACCGCGACGGGGCUACCCCGAGUGCCGGGCGAAGAGCCCGGCUUUUGCCCGGUCUAAAAAGCCGGGCGAAUAANCGGGGGGCAAGUCUGGUGUCANCCGCCGCGGUAAUACCAGCCCCGCGAGUGGUCGGGGUGUUUACUGGGCUUAAGCGCCCGUAGCCGGCCCGGCAAGUCGCUCCUGAAAUCCCCGGGCUCAACCCGGGGGCUGGGGCGAUACUGCCGGGCUAGGGGGCGGGAGAGGCCGAGGGUACUCCCGGGGUAGGGGCGAAAUCCGAUAAUCCCGGGAGGACCACCAGUGGCGAAAGCGCUCGGCUGGAACGCGCCCGACGGUGAGGGGCGAAAGCCGGGGGAGCGAACCGGAUUAGAUACCCGGGUAGUCCCGGCUGUAAACGAUGCGGGCUAGGUGUUGGGCGGGCUUUGAGCCCGCCCAUGUGCCGCAGGGAAGCCGUUAAGCCCGCCGCCUGGGGAGUACGGCCGCAAGGCUGAAACUUAAAGGAAUUGGCGGGGGAGCACCACAAGGGGUGGAGCCUGCGGCUUAAUUGGAGUCAACGCCGGG